RNAcentral lists this long non-coding RNA (4416 nucleotides) under Citrus maxima (pomelo). RNAcentral's name for it is "long non-coding RNA (CMAX_LNC002686)". The record is from RNAcentral. Lineage: Eukaryota; Viridiplantae; Streptophyta; Magnoliopsida; Sapindales; Rutaceae.
UGCGAUAAAAGCGUUUCUAUAUCAAAAGGCUAUCUCUGUAAUGGUCCUCAAAAGUUAUGCCAGUCCUUUAUAACCUUCCGAUCUCAGCCACCUUUCAACACACCCGUCAGUAUUGCGUAUCUUUUAGGUUCCGAAGCCUCCAGUAUAACCUUAAUUAAUAAAUUUUCAUCUUCUGAUGAAAAAAUACCUUCGGACAAAUUAGUAAUAGUUCCUGUUUCGUGUUCGUGUUCCGGCAGUCUGUACCAGCAUAACGCUCCUUACACCAUUAAAGCCAAUGAUGAUACGUAUUUUACGUUAGCAAACAACACUUACCAGGGCUUGACAACUUGCCAGGCUCUCCUCGGACAGAAUUACUACGACGGACAAGAUCUUGGUUCAGGUUUGGAGGUGAUAGUGCCCCUAAGAUGUGCUUGUGCGACUGCAAACCAGACAGAAAAUGGAGUGAGCUAUUUGCUGGCUUAUAUGGUAACAUGGGGUGAUAGUAUUUCAUCCAUAGGAAAUGAAUUUGGUGCUGACAAACAAAGCAUUUUGGACGCAAACAAGCUGUCAGAAGAUGACUUGAUUUUCACCUUUACACCUCUUUUGAUUCCACUCAAAAGCGAAAGUUGCUCUGCAAAUCCAGAGAAAUUCUUUUGCCAGUGUAAGAAUGGUUUCCUUGUAGAUGAAAUGUUGAAAGGUCUCCACUGCAAACCAAAUGGCAAAACAUUUCCAGUCAAAUUGGUUACUUUAUUAGGUAAGACUCUUGCUGAUAAAUUCAAUUAAUGGAUGAAAUACAAUCAUGAUAGGCACUGAUAAAUAUUUAUUUUCUAAAAUGUUUCAGGCCUGGGGAUUGGUUUGGGAUUUUUGAGUUUGGUUCUUCUGGGAUGCUAUUUAUACAAAGUCAUAAGGGAAAAAAGAAGCAGAAUGCUUAAAGAGAAGUUGUUCAAGCAAAAUGGAGGCUACUUGCUGCAACAACGAUUAUCAUCCUGUGGAAGUAGCGAAAAAGCUAAAAUUUUUACAGCAGAGGAGCUUCAAAGAGCAACAGACAAUUACAACCAAAGCCGGUUUCUUGGCCAAGGAGGAUUUGGCACUGUGUACAAAGGGAUGCUCCCUGAUGGCAGCAUAGUUGCUGUCAAAAGGUCGAAAGCAAUUGAUAAAACACAAAUCGAACAAUUCAUUAACGAAGUUGUCAUUCUCUCUCAGAUCAACCAUCGACAUAUUGUUAAGCUUCUGGGUUGUUGUUUAGAGACUGAAGUACCGGUACUAGUAUACGAGUACAUCUCUAAUGGAAAUCUUUCCCACCACAUUCAUGAUCACCAGCAACAGCAAGAACAGAAACAAGAGCUGGAAGAGGAGCAGGAAUUGUCUUCACUUUCAUGGGAGAAUCGAGUUAGGGUAGCGUGUGAAGUUGCAGGAGCAGUAGCAUAUAUGCAUUCUGCAGCCUCGAUCCCCAUCUUUCACCGCGACAUCAAAUCUUCCAACAUACUCUUGGAUGAUAAAUUUAGCGCAAAAGUUUCUGAUUUUGGUACUUCAAGGUCUGUACCGAAUGAUAAGACUCAUUUAACAACAGCAGUUCAAGGAACCUUUGGAUACUUCGAUCCUGAGUACUUUCAAUCAAGUCAAUACACGGAUAAAAGCGAUGUCUAUAGCUUUGGGGUUGUACUAUUAGAGCUUCUAACCGGUAAAAAACCAAUCUGUUUAACCAGAGAGGAAGAAGAAAGAAAUUUAGUUGCGUACUUCAUUUCAUUAGCAAAGGAGAACAAACUGCUUGAGAUUUUAGAUGCUAGAGUAGCUAAAGAAGCAAGAGAAGAAGAUAUUGAAGCCGUAGCAGAGCUUGCAAUGGGAUGCUUGAGAUUAAAUAGUAAAAAAAGGCCUACGAUGAAACAAGUGUCCAUGGAUCUUGAAGGGUUGAGAAGGUCGCAGAGAUGCUUAGAAAUAUGCAAAGUGAAUCAACUGCUGACAAAUGAGUUAUCAUUAGCAGAAAAUUCGGUAUUUUCCGUGCCAGAGGAUUCAGAAUCAUUUUGUUCAUCAAUUUGAUGCGUGGCUACCAUUUUUCUGUUUGUCAUAUUUAAUUGUAAGAAAUACUCUGUACGUUGCAGAAACAUAAAAUAAAGUCCAUGCACCAAGCAAUUGUCAAAAACACCUACAACUUGUAGUAAUAGACCUCUUUUCCAAGCAAUUUUCAGAGUUUCUUCGCUUUGAAAUACAAUACCAACACUUCUUUAUGUUGGUUAAAUUUCUUGUGUGAAAGUUGAAGCAAACCGGAAAAUCGAAAUGAAGUUAUGCGUUAAGACUAAUAUGAUAGGGUUUCUAGUUUGGAUCAAGAUUCUCUCAUAAUUUAAUUUUCUCCAAAGUAAAAUUUACUCAAGUAAUUGGAGAUUAAUAAAUUAAAAAUAAGAGUGAUUAAAUAUUAAUCAUUAACUAAUACUAAAAAAAUAGAUAGUACCAUAUCUUUAAAAGUUUAACUUAGCUCAAAUUAGAAAAGAAUCCUAAUCCCCUUAGCUUAGACAAUUCAAACUUGUACUAAGACAUUAUUUUUUUCAGGGUUAUUUUUAAGGACCUCCCCUGAGGUUUAGUGAAUUAACACCUUGAUAAAAUGUAUUGAUAUAAUUACAAAAACCUCCCCUGCCGUUAAUUAGUCGUUAAAUUUACUGUUAGUAGACUGUCAAAAUUACUAAAAUACCCUUCUCCCCAAAAUAAUAAAUUAUUAAAUGUAGCUUUGAGAAUUUAUGGGUGAUAGGUUUGGCCGGCUGCUGCUUCCACCGAUUAACCGGGUUUUCAACCACUGCUUUUGCUGCCUGCCAUCUUCCAUGUCGCCCUCCUUUGGCUUGGCUUAUACACUUUCAACGCCAUCCUAUCUUUCUUUCUACCUUGUUCCCUUCCUUUCUUUCUCUGCUACCUAGCUCUAUGCUUUCGAAACCAACCCGUGUCCUCCAGAUGGCUGCAAAGGAUCCGAAAGCUGGUGCCUAUCUAAAAGACAAAGAGAUGCGAAGCCAGUCAAUUGUUCUUGCUUUCAGGAGAUUUCACGGUCUUGUAGCCGUAGCUAGAUUUGGACUCUAACAAAUUGUUUGAAAACCCAGUUCAACAAAGCAAUUAACUGCGUCAGAAUCAACAAAUUGUUUGAAAACCCAGUGCAACAAAAUGCCUAUUGGUGGUGUGUUGGGCUUAAAAAGGUUCCGUUUGCAGUGAAGCACCACCAACGGACUUUGACAAGAUGGCGACAACGAGAUCUCAUGAGUUUGAAUGUGGUUGCAAGUGUGGGAUGAAAAAAUUGUGGGUUUUGUGGCUGUUGAAAUGUUUAUUGAGGUCAGGACUUCAUGGGGGUUGGUUGAGGGGAUAGACGGCGACGAAAUGGAACCAUCACUGAUGGCAGAAAUUACGGCAGUGGUAUGCGGCGUGACCAGCCGUGAGCUAUAGUUUAGAGAGCUGUGUGUGGUUAAGUUUUGGGAUGUCAAAGGUUGCUGCAUGGUAUCAGGAUGGCUCAAGGGUGAUAGUGGUUGGGUGACAUCAGCAACGGCUAAAGGGGUGCUGCCGAUGUGGGGGCUGUUGUGAGACAAAAGCCAUCUUUUUGGGUUAAUGCGUGGUGGUGGAUGCGGUUGAUUCAGAGGCUUCCGUGACUGGGGUUGGUAACCAGGGUGAAGAGGGGACUUCGGCAGUGGCAAAGCACCACUAUUGGCUGCCGGUGGAGUCAUGGCCAACUGAUUAAGUUCGGUCAACAGCGGGCAAGUCGUUCAAAAUAUCAUUGAUCUAGUAAAAACAUAUUUUAAAUUUUAAAUAUAAUUUUACAAAUUUACCCCUGUAUACUGAUGCCAUACGUAUUUUUAUACUAACGGCAUGGGAAGUUUCUGUAAUUAUAUCAAUACAUUCUAUCUAGGUGUUAAUACACUAAAUCUCAACGAGGUCUUUAAAAAUAACCCUAUUUUUUUAAUCAGGAGAAAGGCUACCAAAUAAAAUAAGAUAGAAGCCACUUUAUGUCAAUUUGAGUGUCUAGAGAACACUUGCAAAUUUGAAUGCGCUUGAAGAUUGAAUAACUAUCAUCAGAGGUAUAACCUAUACCCUAUUUAAUUUUAAAAUAAUAAUAAAGAUAGAAGUGUAUGAGGUUUGAAGGUCUUCUCAGCAACCAAUAAGAAUUUUUUAAAAGUGAUCUCCACUCUCUCUAGUCAGAUCUGUAACUACCAACAAUAGAAAGAUCAAUAAUAAUGACAAUAAUAAACAAAUAAAUAAUUAUUAAAGAAAAAAGAGACAGAAGAAAGAGAUCAAAGGGUACCUCAUAAACAAAAUAGAAGAGGGAUCGAAGAGAGUAGAAGAGGGAUCGAAGAGAGGAGAGACUCUCCGUGCAAGUGGGGGCUUUUUGGGAAUUUAAGAAAAAAAAGGAGGAAUAAGAGAAACGAUAGAAAGUGGUAUUGCAAGUGUGUCGGUCAGUAGGUGUUGACGGGU